AGCGAACGCUGGCGGCAGGCCUAACACAUGCAAGUCGAACGAACUCUUCGGAGUUAGUGGCGGACGGGUGAGUAACACGUGGGAACGUGCCUUUAGGUCCGGAAUAACUCAGGGAAACUUGUGCUAAUACCGAAUGUGCCCUUCGGGGGAAAGAUUUAUCGCCUUUAGAGCGGCCCGCGUCUGAUUAGCUAGUUGGUGAGGUAACGGCUCACCAAGGCGACGAUCAGUAGCUGGUCUGAGAGGAUGGCCAGCCACACUGGGACUGAGACACGGCCCAGACUCCUACAGCAGGCAGCAGUGGGGAAUCUUGCGCAAUGGGCGAAAGCCUGACGCAGCCAUGCCGCGUGAAUGAUGAAGGUCUUAGGAUUGUAAAAUUCUUUCACCGGUGACGAUAAUGACGGUACCCGGAGAAGAAGCCCCGGCUAACUACGUGCCAGCCGCCGCCGUAA
Molecule: ribosomal RNA, 449 nt
Filed under: uncultured bacterium
Lineage: Bacteria
Description: partial 16S ribosomal RNA
Rfam family: Bacterial small subunit ribosomal RNA
Source: RNAcentral